Non-coding RNA from Triticum aestivum (bread wheat), 125 nucleotides. Lineage: Eukaryota; Viridiplantae; Streptophyta; Magnoliopsida; Poales; Poaceae. The record is from Rfam.
AUUAUACUCCCUCCGUCCGGAAUUACUUGUCAGAGAAAUGGAUGUAUCUAUAUGUAUUUUAGUUGUAGAUACAUCCAUUUUUAUCCAUUUGGGCGACAAGUAAUUCCGGACGGAGGGAGUAAUUC